This 60-nucleotide transfer RNA is filed under the name Salamandra infraimmaculata semenovi. RNAcentral's name for it is "partial tRNA-Phe". Lineage: Eukaryota; Metazoa; Chordata; Amphibia; Caudata; Salamandridae. The record is from RNAcentral.
GUUUAUAUGGCUUAAAUUUACAGCGUGGCACUCACGAAGCAAAAAAAGAUUUAAAGACAU